This 310-nucleotide unclassified non-coding RNA is filed under the name Hevea brasiliensis (rubber tree). The record is from RNAcentral. Lineage: Eukaryota; Viridiplantae; Streptophyta; Magnoliopsida; Malpighiales; Euphorbiaceae.
AAAGUUCAACAAACUCAUGGGUGUGAAAGGCGACGUGCCAACGGAGAACAAACCUGUCAUCCACGAUGCAGAGAGGCAAAAGGAACUUCAAAUGGACUUAGAGAAGCAAUACACUGCUGGACUUCGCCGAAGAGACGGUCGUACAGUUGGACUAGGUCUCUAAGGACUUGCCUUGAACAUCUUUGUAUUUUAAUGACUCUUUUGGUCGUGGUGUUGUGUUGUUUGCAAUUAUGGAGCUGCAUGUAUUGUGUCGACUUAAACAAUGUAUCCUGAAAUUUACGUUAUCUCUUGAUCAAAGAUUGUAUUUUUU